RNAcentral lists this ribosomal RNA (217 nucleotides) under uncultured bacterium. RNAcentral describes it as "partial 16S ribosomal RNA". It matches the Rfam family "Bacterial small subunit ribosomal RNA", at positions 1284 to 1500 of the family's 1533-position model. The record is from RNAcentral.
GUCCCACGUUCGGAUUGUAGUCUGCAACCCGACUACAUGAAGCCGGAAUCGCUAGUAAUCGCGGAUCAGAAUGCCGCGGUGAAUACGUUCCCGGGUCUUGUACACACCGCCCGUCACACCAUGGGAGUUGGAAAUGCCCGAAGUCAGUGGCCCAACCGGAAGGGGGGAGCUGCCGAAGGCAGGUUCGAUGACUGGGGUGAAGUCGUAACAAGGUAAC